Molecule: ribosomal RNA, 491 nt
Filed under: uncultured bacterium
Lineage: Bacteria
Description: partial 16S ribosomal RNA
Rfam family: Bacterial small subunit ribosomal RNA
Source: RNAcentral
AGUGAACGCUGGCGGUAGGCCUAACACAUGCAAGUCGAACGGCAGCACAGUAAGAGCUUGCUCUUACGGGUGGCGAGUGGCGGACGGGUGAGGAAUACAUCGGAAUCUACUUUUUCGUGGGGGAUAACGUAGGGAAACUUACGCUAAUACCGCAUACGACCUACGGGUGAAAGCAGGGGAUCUUCGGACCUUGCGCGAUUGAAUGAGCCGAUGUCGGAUUAGCUAGUUGGCGGGGUAAAGGCCCACCAAGGCGACGAUCCGUAGCUGGUCUGAGAGGAUGAUCAGCACACCUGGAACUGAGCAACGGUCAAGACCCCUAGGGGAGGCAGAAGUGGGGAAUAUUGGACAAUGGGCGAAAGCCUGAUCCAGCCAUACCGCGUGGGUGAAGAAGGCCUGCGGGUUGUAAAGCCCUUUUGUUGGGAAAGAAAAGCAGCAGGUUAAUACCCCGCUGUUCUGACGGUACCAAAGAAUAAGCACCGGCUAACUUCGUG